AGCAGCAGCAGCAGCAGCAACUGGAUUUGCUUUUUCACCAGAGGAUCCAGAUUUCCCUGUGGCCUCGCAAACAAAAAAGAAGGAAGACGGAGCAGCACAGUCAUUCCUUUGUGAAAAAGGCAUUCAGAGACGGGGUUUCACCGUGUUAGCCAGGAUGGUCUCGAUCUCCUGACCUCGCGAUCCGCCCGCCUCGGCCUCCCAAAGUGCUGGGAUUACAGGCGUGAGCCACCGCGCCCGGCUUCAGCUGGUUUUUCAAAAGUCAUGGCGUGUAACUGUCCGAACAGUGAACUUCGGAGAUCCACCGGAGGGGCGAGGCCACAGCUCGACCGCGAGCACCUGAGCAUCCUGCACCGCCUGCGACGGCCGUCAGGGGGCGCGAUGCCGCCUCACAGAACCUCAAGAGGCGCCCGGGUUCCGGCACAGACGGCCUGCGGCUCCAGGGGGCGGAACCGAGCCGUCUCCUCAGGACCUACGCAGGAGGCGCCGUCAUCCCUACAGGGACACCUGAGAGGGCCCAGCCUCCUCCUCCUCAGGACCUACUCGGGAGACGCCGCUGGCUCUCUAGGAACACCUGGGGACCGUGGCCAGGGACGACCCAGCCUCCUUCUCCUCAGCUCCUCAGGAACGACUGGGGAAGCUGUGGCUUCAUGGUCCCCGAGGCUGCCCGAGGAAAGGUGAGGAAAAAGCUUUCUGUCCCGGCUCAGUGCUGAGGAGGCCGCGCUGCCUCGCGCUCCACUUUCUCAAGUUGUAUUUAUUUUAUUUGACAAAGUGGCCCGUCAUUAAGUGGCUUUGCUAUUCAUUAUUGCAGCAUACCUGAGUUGUUUCAUUUUUUAAUUUUUGACCAAUUUGGGUUUGUUUGGGGUGGAUCCGGGACAGAGAAGGGAGAAACCCUGAGGGCAACAUGGAGAGCCCCAGGGAGACGCGCACCCCACGACUUGCUUUUAUUUGCGUUCCAGUGGCUCGUUUUUCUUAGAGUGUUAAAGUACUUGAAAAAUAUUGAAGAGCAGAUGUAGAUGUGAGUUUUCACAACCGUGUUUUAAGUGUAAAUACUGGAUUUUGUCUGUUAAAAGGAUUUUAGGUAAAAUAAAUUUAAGCGGAC
Molecule: long non-coding RNA, 1099 nt
Filed under: Homo sapiens (human)
Lineage: Eukaryota; Metazoa; Chordata; Mammalia; Primates; Hominidae
Description: family with sequence similarity 157 member C
Source: RNAcentral